GAAGGGGGCGAGCGUUGUUCGGAUUUACUGGGCGUAAAGGGCGCGCAGGCGGCGGACCAAGUCAGGCGUGAAAGCCCCGGGCUUAACCUGGGAGGUGCGUCUGGGACUGGUAUGCUAGAGUUCGGGAGAGGAGCGUGGAAUUCCCAGUGUAGAGGUGAAAUUCGUAGAUAUUGGGAAGAACACCGGUGGCGAAGGCGGCGCUCUGGACCGAGACUGACGCUGAGGCGCGAAAGCGUGGGGAGCAAACAGGAUUAGAUACCCUGGUAGUCCACGCCGUAAACGAUGUGUGCUAGACGUUGGGGAGCCUAGCUCUUCGGUGUCGCAGCUAACGCUUUAAGCACACCGCCUGGGGAGUACGGCCGCAAGGUUA
Molecule: ribosomal RNA, 370 nt
Filed under: uncultured bacterium
Lineage: Bacteria
Description: bacterial SSU rRNA
Rfam family: Bacterial small subunit ribosomal RNA
Source: RNAcentral